This is a long non-coding RNA of Columba livia (rock pigeon), 5350 nucleotides long. RefSeq lists it as uncharacterized. The transcript has 3 exons. NCBI's taxonomy places the organism in Eukaryota, Metazoa, Chordata, Aves, Columbiformes, Columbidae. The record is from RefSeq and is a predicted model, not a curated record.
GAUUUGUGCCGGAGCUCACAACCUCCGCUGUGCUUUGUCUAGGGCUGGGGUUUUAGUGGCUUCUUAAAAUCUGUUCCUGGGCUGAUGGAGCACCAGGCUGUGUCUCAGGGGGUGCAGGGUGGCUCUGUCCUCUGCUUGUGUCCUGGCUCGCUCUUUUUCAAGCUUCCCACACAAAAAAAAAGGGACAGUGAGGAUGGGUGCAGGUGUCCCAGGUUCCCAGCUUGGUGGGGGGAAAUGUCCUGCAGAUGCUUUGUCCCAUCACAUUUAAUCCUGUGCUGCGGCUCAGGCACCUCUGGGUCUGCGGCUGGACAGGAGAGGGCAGCGGAGCCGCACUGCCACCAGGGUGGUGGCAGCGCAUGUGUCACCCCUGCACAUGGUGACAUCCCUGUUGCUGGGGAGGGAGAGCAGCUGAGGCCAGGCUAAUCUCCUUAGCGGCCUGAGCACCAUCACGAGAGUGAAAGGGAGAUUAGGGGACAGGGUGGCAUUAGCAACCGGGGACGCUCAUUGGAGAGGAAUAAGGGAGCGACUGAGCCCCGUGGAGGGGGAGAAGACCCUGGGGGAGAUCAGUGCAGGAGCUGGAGACGCCUCUGUCGGCAACAAAUAACCCAACAGCUGGGAUCUUGGAGAAGUGAAAGGCUUUAGAGAAUAUGCCCCAAAAUCCUGGCGGAGCCGUCCCCACACUGUCCCCCCAGGAGGAGGGUGUUGCCAGGCAGGCUGGGUCCUCAUCCCUUCCCUCCCAUCUAUAGGCGGGGAGUGGGUGCCUUACCACCCCCCCAUCAUGGGGCAUGAAAACAUUCCCUGGAAGCAUAAACAGAGGGAAGGGGAAAACACUGGAUAUUCCCUUUGUCUGAGAGAGGUGGAGGCAAAAUACGCUCUUUUCCGUAGCAGAGUGUGGCUGUUGCUUACAAAGCUUUGGUGAAGGAGCCCAGACGCUGGGCUCCAGUCCCCGUUCCUGCCACGUGAGUGUCACGGGGUCCUGGGUUUUCUGGUCCCGGGUGGCUGGUGGGACCAGAGUGAUGGAUGUUUUACAGGAAGCCUUGCAGUCCUGCACCCUGUCCCACCGGAGCAGGGAGUGUGGCCAGGUUGGUGCUGCUCACCGGGUUGUGUUGCUUCUGCAUUUUACCCACAGGGAGCUCCAGGGCUGGGAAGAGAAGGAAAAAAUGGUACCUCCUGUUAGUAUUUGGUGCUUGUUCCUUCCUCUCAGCUGUCAAGGAAACCCUGGCACGGUUCACAUACCCAGCUGGCAUUGCUGCCGUUGCCGACGUGUUAUGUCCUUAUAAACCGUAUCCAAAAUAGCUUUUCCACCCCUCUGUUCAUGCUGGCUCACACAGCACCUUUCCCUGUGCACUGCCAUCGGCUGCUCUCCGGCCAAUGAUUUGGAGCAGGACAACAGCUUUUUCUUAGAAUCGUAGAAUCACAGAAUAGUUUGGGUUGAAGGGCCCUUCCCAGCUCCCCCAGUUCCCCCCUGCCAUGAGCAGGGACAUCUUCACCAGCUCAGGUUGCUCAGAGCCCCGUCCAGCCUGGCCUGGGAUGUCUCCAGGGAUGGUUCAUCCACCACCUCUCUGGCCAACCUGGGCCAGGCUCUCACCACCCUCAGGGCCAACAAUUUCUUCUUCAUGUCCAGCCUGUAUCUCCCCUCCUUUAGUUUAAACCAUCACCCCUAUGGCAACAGGCCCUGCUAAAAAGUCUGUCCCCAUCUUUUUUACAGGCCCCUUUUAAGUACAGAAAGGCCACAAUAAGGUCUCCCUGGAGCCUUCUCUUCUCCAGGCUGAACACCCCAGCUCUCAGUUUUCUUCCAGGCUCAGGAAGCAGAAUUGCAUCUUUUACGUGCACAAGUGUGGUUAAGGCAGGAUUGUUACCACUUCUGCCAGAAGGACUCACAGAGAUGAAAUGAGUCAAGGUGGUAGUGAGAUAUAUGGAGUUAGCCCCAGGUGCCAGAAGCUAUAGGAAAAGCCAGAGAGAAGAGGCUUGUGCCACGUUAGUGAAAGAAGGAAGAGAGAUCAAGAGGGUUUGGAAAAUGAGACGGCUUGUAAGCCGGUUCAGAAAUGACAGAGUUUGAGAAGAAUGGUGUGAGGGAGAUGUUAGAGCAGCCUGCGUGCUGCUGAAAAGGUUCCCUGGAUGGGAGAUUGUGGGUAGAGGGGAUGUGAUGUGCUCAGGGUGGAAAAGAAAGCGGAAAAAAACCCGACCUGCAGUGGGAGUGAGGACACAUGGUGCUGGAUCUGUGCCGUAGAAGUGGCCACAAGCCAGUGACCCGAGCAGAAGAGCGGGGGAGGAAGGUCGCUCGGCCAAGCAUUUGGAAAAAGUGCAUCAGAGUAGAGACGCAGAAGAGAUGGAGCUACAACUUUCAUGUCUCAAAUAUACAAGGAGGAAGGUCAGGAAAACAUGGAAAGAAAUCUCCAGCUUGCUUCCAGCAGCCUGCAGUGGGGUGUUUGCUCAUUUUUUACCCUCAGAAAGGGGCAGGAAUUUGCAGUAACAGGGUCAUCAACAGCCUUGCUGCCCCAUCAAACCCCGAUCCCUCGGUACCUGUGUGGCAGCUGCAUCAUGAUGCUGAUGGAUGGUGACAGGACCGUGGGAGUGAGCGGCAGCAGCACAAAAUGUGCAGGUGCUCGGCUGCAUCGUACAAACCCAGCGGUGCAUGAACCGGAGAGAACAACAGUGAGCGAGCGGCUGCAGAGGGGCCCUUGGGAAGAGGCAGGUAACUGGCCAGAGAAAAAAGUGACUGCUGUGAACAAAGUCCCUGCAAGCUGGUGACAUGGGACUUUCGCUGCCCACGGCAUCUACAGGCUCCAGCCCCUCUGGGAGCUGGCAGUGAGUCUGGAACAAUCGCCAGGGGAAGGACAAUGGGACCUCCAGCACUAUGUGGCCUGUUCCUGCACCAUCAAGGGCUUCCAGCUGGGGCUUCCCCCAUCCCAGGCCAUGGAUGUACUGGAGAAGGUGACAAGGGGAUGGCAAGAGAGGGGGCAGAGGUGCAUAUCCCAUGCACACCUGGUUUGGGGGGUGGGAUAAUGCUGCUCACCCCCAGCAGUCAGCACAGGGACACGGGCUGUAACCCGCGGUCCCACAGAAUCCCUCUGCCCCCCCACAGCUGAAGGUAAAGGUGCCCCCAACAUCUGCUCCCACCCUGCAUCCAGGAUUGUCCCCUCCACUUCAAGUUCAAGUUGCCCUUCCCAAGUGCGAUCCCUCAAAUUCCUCAAUGGCCACUCAACCCAAGCAGCUGCGGGGGGCUCGGUCUUGUCACCCUCUUUGUGUCCCUUUUGUGACUCGGGCUCAGUUUCUGUUGAUCUCCCUUUUCUCAUCACCCGGGCUCAGGAAACCCUCCAUCAGCCAGCCUUGCUGCAAUGAACAUGUUUGCAAUCCCGCGUGUCCCUGGUAAUUAACACAGCUGACCGAGUUCCCUUCAUCAGCACUAAUUGGCCAAGUUUCUGUCCCUGUGCAUCUCCCUUCCUGGUUUUUGUGGUGCUCUUGGGUGAUUUUAGCGCUACUGAGAGGAGAAGUAAAAUGAAACUAACUGUGCAUCCUCACACAGCACACAUCCUGACACUGACACCAGCAGCUGGCGACACAGGGACACAGCGGGGUGGCUGUGGGCUCCUGAAGCCAGACACACACCCACAGCUCUGCAAAGCCUCUUUGCUCCCCACCAGCGGUGGCCGUCACCCCACCACAGACCCACUGGUCUGACCAGCCCCUCUGCCUCCACCACUGGUGGCACCAGCAGUGCCCAGCACCCUGGGACGAUGUCACCCUGGCUGGGACGGGUGCUGGGGACAGCCUGAGGGUGGCACUUGGAUGUGCUCAGCCCUGGUCCCCAUUGGCAGUGAGCUGAUCCCAAUCAUCGUCCCACCGGAGCUGUCCCCCCAGGUGCUCCAAUAUGCAAGGGAUGGUGGCACCAGGGCUGGGGGCAGAGGGUCCCUACCAUGUCACCCCCCUGUGCCUUCCCAUGUGGUCUGGGUCCACCUGCCCCCAAGGAGGGUGCUCUGGUUGGGACUUCUGUCCCCGUGUGUGUGCAUGUGGGUGCACAGAUGAGCAGGGCUGACCCCAUGUGCAAAGGGAGGGGUGGCUCUGUGGAGUGCAUGGGAAUCUGGGGUGGAGGGGUGUCACUAUGAGGGGUGCAUGGAGAUUUCCAGGGGUCUCUGUGCGGUGCAGGAGGGUCUGGGGAGUGUCUGCUGGUCUGCAAGGGGGCUUUGGGGGUGGUCUCUGUGUGCAAGGGCAAUCACGGGGGGUGCAGGGGGGCCUGACAGAGGCACUGGGGGGGUGGGAUGGAACUGGGGGAGUGCCCUGUGCUCCUGGAGCCUCCUGUGUGCUGCUAAUGGGGGGGACCAGCCACAACCCCCUCCCCCUGAGCUGUCUGUCUGUCUCCCAGGGCUGUCCUGCCCCCACUCUCUCCACUCUCCCCCCCACAUCUGUGCAACAGCAGCUUAUUUUUUUCUCCAUGGUUGCAACACCUCAAGUCAUGUCCUGUGUCAGACCCCCCCUCACAGGAAAGAAUGGGGGGAGCUGGUCCUGGCCAGGGGGGACCCGGGUACAGGCCCUGACCCCCCUCCCAUUCACCCUCCAAAUGCAAAAUGGGGAGUGUGGGCACCGCGAAAAGCGAAUUGCCCUGGGGUUGGAUAAGGGAGAGUGGAUCCCUGCAGUGACGGGGAAGGGUGACCGGAUCCCUCUGGGGUUGGACAAGGGAGAGUGGAUCCCUGCAGUGACGGGGAAGGGUGACCGGAUCCCUCUGGGGUUGGAUAAGGGAGAGUGGAUCCCUGCAGUGAUGGGGAAGGGUGACCGGAUCCCUGGAUCCCUCUGGGGCUGGGGAAGUGGCUGUAGCUUCAUACACCACAAUCUCCUCCCUCCUCCCUUCCUUGCCCUUCCCCCAAAACACCAGGCAGGAACACACCAGUGUCCCCCACAGCUGUGUCAACCUCCACCCAAAGGCCUGGGGGACCCAAGGCCGGGAGCACCCCAAGAGCAUCCCCGCUAUGAGGGCCAGGCUGGGACUGAACCAUCCCCCCUGCCAGCAGCCUCUGCACAGGCCCCAUCUGUGCCCCCUCUUCCCACUGGAAUAAAUACCAUUUAUUCAGAAGAAACCAUUUUAUUAUUUUUUUUUUCCCAAAGAAAAAAAGCAAUAUAAAUAUUAGAGUAUAAAACUUGCGUGUAACACAUCGACGUUGGUCUAUAUGGGUAUAAGAAGGAUAUAAGCAUAUAUAUAAUAUAUAAGUAUAAUUCAAUAUUAGACACAUUGAAAGGGCAAACGUGUUUCAUUUCACGUACACUCGGAGCACAGACCACAUGGAAAGAAGAUACAGAGAAAAUUGAAAAUACUGGUGUCCACAAGUUAGUUACCAAGAUUAAAAAUAACACGCCA